GCAUCUGCUAAACCACGGCCACAGAACCGUUUAUAUAGCCGGUAGCCUGUAGAGGGAAACACAUGGAUUACUGACAUGACUGCCGCCACCAGCUGAAAGAUGCUGUAGAUGAGGGGGAAAGAAAACAUGACUUCCAGUUCAGAUGAGCUGAAGGAUAACUGGAUGAUGGUGCUGCACAACUGGGAGUUCUGGAAACCCGUCUCCAGUGCAAUGGUUCGACAUCUGAAAAAAAAGCAAGGAACUGUCAAAAACUUUGUCCAUAGUGUCAAAUAUACAAAAGUGAAAAACACUAAAAUGACUUUCAUCUAUGUACUGUAUGAACAACACAGUUUGCUUGUGGCUCCCUCAUGUUCACUGAGCUCAACUGGAAGUAUUUACAGACUGAGCGAUAUGUGAAGGGGAAGGAGAACAGCGGAGACAUAGCAAUGACCGCAGCGGCCAUGAAGUGGGAGAAACUUCAUGCAAACCAGGCCAGUAGCAGAUAAUGUUGGAGCCGGAGCCUCCAGGACAGCAGCCCAUGAUGAU
Solea senegalensis (Senegalese sole) is the source of this 525-nucleotide long non-coding RNA. RefSeq lists it as uncharacterized. Lineage: Eukaryota; Metazoa; Chordata; Actinopteri; Pleuronectiformes; Soleidae. The record is from RefSeq and is a predicted model, not a curated record. The transcript has 3 exons.